RNAcentral lists this ribosomal RNA (605 nucleotides) under Paecilomyces tenuis. RNAcentral describes it as "eukaryotic LSU rRNA". It matches the Rfam family "Eukaryotic large subunit ribosomal RNA", at positions 43 to 662 of the family's 3401-position model. The record is from RNAcentral. Lineage: Eukaryota; Fungi; Ascomycota; Eurotiomycetes; Eurotiales; Thermoascaceae.
CAAUUAAGCGGAGGAAAAGAAACCCACCGGGAUUGCCUCAGUAACGGCGAGUGAAGCGGCAAGAGCUCAAAUUUGAAAUCUGGCCCCCCCGGGGUCCGAGUUGUAAUUUGGAGAGGAUGCUUCGGGCGCCGUUCCCGUCUAAGUGCCCCUGGAACGGGCUGUCGCAGAGGGUGAGAACCCCGUCUGGGACGGGCGACGGCGCCCGUGUGAAGCUCCUUCGACGAGUCGAGUUGUUUGGGAAUGCAGCUCUAAGCGGGUGGUAAAUUUCAUCUAAAGCUAAAUACUGGCCGGAGACCGAUAGCGCACAAGUAGAGUGAUCGAAAGAUGAAAAGCACUUUGAAAAGAGAGUCAAACAGCACGUGAAAUUGUUGAAAGGGAAGCGUUGGCCCCCAGACGCGCCCGGGAGGGCUCAGCCGGCACGUGUGCCGGUGUACUCUCUCCCGGGCGGGCCAGCAUCGGUUUGGGCGGUCGCUGAAAGGCCCCGGGAAUGUAGCACCCUCCGGGGUGCCUUAUAGCCCGGGGCGGCAUGCGGCCCGCCGGGACCGAGGCCCGCGCUUCGGCGAGGAUGCUGGCGUAAUGGGGGUUAACGGCCCGUCUUGAAAACC